ACUGAGCACAGGGCCUGGCACAUAAAAAAAACAAAAAGAAAAACCUUAUAACAUAUAACAUGUAUAAACAGAAGCUGAGAUAUUGAAGAAGCAAAGACAGGAUGGAGUUGGUUGCAGACAUGGAAGGACUACCUACCUGUGCAAAGGAUCUGAGACUGAAGGACACUCUUAUCACUCACAGUAAGAAGAAAUGGAGCAAUAACCCCGGAUGAAUACCUCAGAAUGAAAUCAGUAGCACCUGACUCCUCCCCUGGAGCUUUCAACUCUAUCAAUCUACAGUUUUGGGCAAAUACCAAGCUUGCCCAGUGCACAGGUGCCAUAUGUUGUUUGUUUUUUUUUAAAUCAGACCUAUCAGAUAGUCUUCCCUACCGUUUGGGGGGGGGGAGGGAAAAGUGUGUUUUUUUAACUGUUUUUUUUGCUUGAACUUGCCCCCUACCCCACCACCCCCAACUUGAAUUCCCAUCUCCAAAACCAUUUCUCUGCCCAACCUCAUAAAGUAAACAGGAGACAAAAUUAUAUCUUCCAAAAAAAGAAACUUAUUCAUCUCCAACGAACCAAUCAGGAUAUGCAUUCACACACUCUGACAAGCUCGACAAAGGUGAAUUGGUUCUCUAAAAUUCUGCCAGUAAUUUGCAGUAAUGGGGCUGUUUUCCCGCAAGAAUCACUCGAGGGCAUCAAGGCUUUGCCUAGGUUUUCCAGGGUCCUUAGCGCUCAGCACUGACCUACUCCAGCUGCAGGUAUCUUAAAACUACCUUUAAUGAAGUAACAAGUGCU
Vombatus ursinus (common wombat) is the source of this 774-nucleotide long non-coding RNA. RefSeq lists it as uncharacterized. Lineage: Eukaryota; Metazoa; Chordata; Mammalia; Diprotodontia; Vombatidae. The transcript is spliced from 3 exons. The record is from RefSeq and is a predicted model, not a curated record.